RNAcentral lists this long non-coding RNA (783 nucleotides) under Salmo salar (Atlantic salmon). RNAcentral describes it as "lncRNA (ENSSSAG00000118467.1)". The record is from RNAcentral. Lineage: Eukaryota; Metazoa; Chordata; Actinopteri; Salmoniformes; Salmonidae.
GGAAGAAGAGGGAGGUGCAGUAUUUCCAGGCGAGAGAACUGAUGGCGCUCACGAAGGGCACGUCUUUAACACGCAGACGUACCACACGCUCAGAGACUGGACACGUUCUCCUGCUUGUCAUCCACAGACAGUCACUAGAAGGAAGAGCGUGAAAAAGAGAGAGGGCUUACCCAGUAGGAAUGACGCCCGUACGAACACAGCUCCAGGAGGAAGAAGGCUCGUCACGUGGCGAGAUACAAACACGACCAAACGACGACAGAAAAUAAUAAGACCUUGAAAAUGCACACCGCCAAACUCUUUCAAAGGAAAAUAUAAAACUCUGGGUAUCAGUGCAGAUGAAAAAAUAACACCCAAAGAGAAGAAAUAACACCAAGAUCCAAACUGAUGCAAAAAUUGCCGCACAAAACUACGGAAAGGCCCCAAAAAAGCUACUUGUUGCCAGAGCUCGAGUCUCCCCCCUGCGUGCGGCUGGAGCUGAGAACAGGGGAGCGAGCGAUAGAAGAGACGAGGCAGCAAGCGCAGAGUGAAGGAGAGAAAAGCUCGACUGAUGAUGAAAUAGGAGUAUCAGGAGCUCUAAAAAGAAAGAAAGAAAGAAAGAAAAAGGAAAAACGGUCAAAUCUCUGCAUGUCUCCUGUUCUGGACGUAUUUUGAUGCCUUAUGUCUUUAAUGCCAGAUGAAAAGUAUAGCAGGGGAUUGCAUGCCUAGCAGAGAAAAAGGUGGGGGAAACUACUCUUUUGCUUCUUUUACUGUGUGUAACUUUCUGUUGGUUUGUGGAUGUCAUUG